Molecule: ribosomal RNA, 253 nt
Filed under: uncultured bacterium
Lineage: Bacteria
Description: partial 16S ribosomal RNA
Rfam family: Bacterial small subunit ribosomal RNA
Source: RNAcentral
UACAGAGGUCUCAAGCGUUGUUCGGAUUCAUUGGGCGUAAAGGGUGCGUAGGUGGCGCCGUAAGUCAGGUGUGAAAUCUCGGGGCUCAACCCCGAAACUGCAUUUGAUACUGCGGUGCUCGAGUACUGGAGAGGAGAUUGGAAUUUACGGUGUAGCAGUGAAAUGCGUAGAUAUCGUAAGGAAGACCAGUGGCGAAGGCGAAUCUCUGGACAGUUACUGACGCUGAGGAGCGAAAGCGUGGGGAGCGAACAGG